Molecule: long non-coding RNA, 613 nt
Filed under: Zonotrichia albicollis (white-throated sparrow)
Lineage: Eukaryota; Metazoa; Chordata; Aves; Passeriformes; Passerellidae
Description: lncRNA (ENSZALG00000002917.1)
Source: RNAcentral
GCGAAAGGGAGCAGAGAGCUUGGAGAGAAACCUCUUGGAUUUGGUGCUAGAUGAUGGAUCAUUCCAUGGUCUCUGCUCAGAAGAAACUAUGUUCCUCUUGGGGAAGUGAAAUCUCACAUGACUGCGAGCACCAUGCAGCUGUCCCAGGGCCCCUGAUCUGCUCCCCUGGAAGAGCACGGGAGGAGUGCUGGCCUCCUGUGGCAGCAGGGGCACAGGAUGGAGCAGCAGCAUCUGCAGCCCUCCCUGGGGAGCUGCCUGCCAUCAGCAGUAACAGAGAAGAGUCAUUCACCAGUGAGAGUUUCUCUGAGGAGGAGCAGGACUUUUCAGGAACCUGGAAAGAGAGAACAAAGACUCUCAUGUAAUGGCUUGUCUGCAUCAGCUCUGGAGCUGUGGCUUGGAGAGGCACUUUGCUGUUCACAAGACUUCAAAUAAGGCCACCAGUCACCUUCAGGGAGCAAUACAAUUCCUGGACAGGAUGGGUUAACCCCACCAAGCCCCUCCAUUAGCCCCCUCCUCUGCAGAUCAAGGGGGAGAAAAUAAGAUGAAAAAGCCCUCAUGGGCCAAGAUAAAGGCACUUUAAUAAAGCAAAGGCAAGCUUCCUUGUGUGGAAGCA